Molecule: ribosomal RNA, 301 nt
Filed under: Staphylococcus aureus
Lineage: Bacteria; Bacillati; Bacillota; Bacilli; Caryophanales; Staphylococcaceae
Description: partial 16S ribosomal RNA
Rfam family: Bacterial small subunit ribosomal RNA
Source: RNAcentral
UUUAUGGAGAGUUUGAUCCUGGCUCAGGAUGAACGCUGGCGGCGUGCCUAAUACAUGCAAGUCGAGCGAACGGACGAGAAGCUUGCUUCUCUGAUGUUAGCGGCGGACGGGUGAGUAACACGUGGAUAACCUACCUAUAAGACUGGGAUAACUUCGGGAAACCGGAGCUAAUACCGGAUAAUAUUUUGAACCGCAUGGUUCAAAAGUGAAAGACGGUCUUGCUGUCACUUAUAGAUGGAUCCGCGCUGCAUUAGCUAGUUGGUAAGGUAACGGCUUACCAAGGCAACGAUGCAUAGCCGAC